Potamilus streckersoni is the source of this 72-nucleotide non-coding RNA. NCBI's taxonomy places the organism in Eukaryota, Metazoa, Mollusca, Bivalvia, Unionida, Unionidae. The record is from the annotation of a GenBank genome assembly.
GCUUCAGUCGCCUAGUGGUUAGGGCGUCCGCCUCGGAUGUGAUAGGUUGCUGGUUCGAACACCGGCCAAGUC